This is a non-coding RNA of Schizosaccharomyces pombe (fission yeast), 240 nucleotides long. The record is from the annotation of a GenBank genome assembly. NCBI's taxonomy places the organism in Eukaryota, Fungi, Ascomycota, Schizosaccharomycetes, Schizosaccharomycetales, Schizosaccharomycetaceae.
GUUUCAAAACAUCGUCAGACGAAUAUGUUCCAGGAAUAUCAAAGUUCAGCACUGAGGUUAGCGUUUUCCCCCAAGGAAUUGAUAAAUUUUUCGCUAGUAGGACACUAUUAGAUCGCGCAACAGCUGAAUUAAUGGUUGAGAAAUAAACGUUUAAAGGUAAAGGCCUCUCACUCAUAGUUGUCAUAAAUCAGAAGCGCCCUUUAAGCAGGUCGGUACCAAAAAAAAGGAAGGGAAAGGGAA